Molecule: ribosomal RNA, 482 nt
Filed under: uncultured bacterium
Lineage: Bacteria
Description: bacterial SSU rRNA
Rfam family: Bacterial small subunit ribosomal RNA
Source: RNAcentral
UUGAACGCUGGCGGCAUGCUUUACACAUGCAAGUCGAACGGCAGCGGGGGCUUCGGCCUGCCGGCGAGUGGCGAACGGGUGAGUAAUGCAUCGGAACGUGCCCAGUCAUGGGGGAUAACUACGCGAAAGCGUAGCUAAUACCGCAUACGACCUGAGGGUGAAAGCGGGGGAUCGCAAGACCUCGCGCGACAGGAGCGGCCGAUAUCGGAUUAGCUAGUUGGUGAGGUAAAGGCUCACCAAGGCGACGAUCCGUAGCGGGUCUAAGAGGACGACCCGCCACUCUGGAACUGAGACACGGUCCAGACUCCUACGGGAGGCAGCAGUGGGGAAUUUUGGACAAUGGGGGCAACCCUGAUCCAGCCAUUCCGCGUGAGUGAAGAAGGCCUUCGGGUUGUAAAGCUCUUUCAGCAGGAACGAAACGGUGGCCCCUAAUACGGGCUACUAAUGACGGUACCUGAAGAAGCAGCACCGGCUAACUACGU